AUUGAACGCUGGCGGCAGGCCUAACACAUGCAAGUCGAGCGGAUGAAGGGAGCUUGCUCCUGGAUUCAGCGGCGGACGGGUGAGUAAUGCCUAGGAAUCUGCCUGGUAGUGGGGGAUAACGUCCGGAAACGGGCGCUAAUACCGCAUACGUCCUGAGGGAGAAAGUGGGGGAUCUUCGGACCUCACGCUAUCAGAUGAGCCUAGGUCGGAUUAGCUAGUUGGUGGGGUAAAGGCCUACCAAGGCGACGAUCCGUAACUGGUCUGAGAGGAUGAUCAGUCACACUGGAACUGAGACACGGUCCAGACUCCUACGGGAGGCAGCAGUGGGGAAUAUUGGACAAUGGGCGAAAGCCUGAUCCAGCCAUGCCGCGUGUGUAAAGAAGGUCUUCGGAUUGUAAAGCACUUUAAGUUGGGAGGAAGGGCAGUAGGUUAAUACCUUGCUGUUUUGACGUUACCAACAGAAUAAGCACCGGCUAACUUCGUG
This 484-nucleotide ribosomal RNA is filed under the name uncultured bacterium. RNAcentral's name for it is "partial 16S ribosomal RNA". It matches the Rfam family "Bacterial small subunit ribosomal RNA", at positions 30 to 507 of the family's 1533-position model. The record is from RNAcentral.